Molecule: long non-coding RNA, 642 nt
Filed under: Coturnix japonica (Japanese quail)
Lineage: Eukaryota; Metazoa; Chordata; Aves; Galliformes; Phasianidae
Description: lncRNA (ENSCJPG00005008391.1)
Source: RNAcentral
AUGAGAAAUCUGGGAGCUUUUAUUUCAUCUGAAUGUGUUUGCUUAUUGUUCAUGUCCACCAAUACUGGAAAUGGGAAUAAACAUAAACAGCACAAACAGCAAGCACUUCCUUGUCUUCAUGUUCAUCUGUCUUGUAGGUACUUAGCUGUUUCUGCUGGACUGUGGACUCCCUGGAAUGUAGCAACGUCCUGUGAAGGUGAUAGCCAGUUGUUAGAAGAUUCAUCACAUAAGUUCAUACAGAUGUUUUCCGACCUAUUGUAUAAUAAUACAGUUAUAGACAUCAGCUAUAGUGCCUUUCAGCUUUGUGCAUUAAAUUACAAAGCCAGAAAAACUUCUUAAUUCCACUCCUGGAGUGAUGGCUCUCCAGUCUGCUGAGCAUUGCAGUUGUCUUCUCAGCUGUUGUUUUAGAUUCGGCAUAUUUUCUUGACUCUGAGUGUCAAAGACCAUGCAUGGGAUUUCAGACAAAGCCACACACUCAGACAUUCAUGCCUGUAUGGAGCAUGACUAUUUCUCUUCUUAUUAUAAGCACAUACAAUAUCAUAUUUUAUAUGUCCUUUUGUGUGUGUGUCUACAAAAUACUUGUGCAUGUAUGUUUUAUGUAAAAGAAAUAAAUCAGUUAUUCUUUUUUUUUUUUAAAUAUUU